This 329-nucleotide unclassified non-coding RNA is filed under the name soil metagenome. RNAcentral describes it as "partial contains 5.8S ribosomal RNA, internal transcribed spacer 2, and large subunit ribosomal RNA". The stretch from base 1 to 120 matches the Rfam family "5.8S ribosomal RNA", at positions 35 to 154 of the family's 154-position model. The record is from RNAcentral.
GAUGAAGAACGCAGCGAAAUGCGAUAAGUAAUGUGAAUUGCAGAAUUCAGUGAAUCAUCGAAUCUUUGAACGCACAUUGCGCCCCCUGGUAUUCCGGGGGGCAUGCCUGUUCGAGCGUCAUUACAACCCUCAAGCUCUGCUUGGUAUUGGGCCCCGCCAGUUCUGGCGGGCCCUAAAGUCAGUGGCGGUGCCUUCCGGCUCCGAGCGUAGUAAUUCUUCUCGCUCUCGAGACCCGGUUGUGUGCUUGCCAACAACCCCCAAUUUUUUAAGGUUGACCUCGGAUCAGGUAGGGAUACCCGCUGAACUUAAGCAUAUCAAUAAGCGGAGGA